AGAAGCAUUCACACAGGUGCUCCACUCAGCCGGGGCGGAACCAAUCUGCGGCUGCAGGUUUGCUACCUGCAGCAUAAAAAGGGACACACGCAGCACUGAGGAGGAACGGAGAAUGAAUGAGCUCCUCAAACAAAGUGGCUGUGAGCGUGAUGAUCUGCGGCAAACUGUGCAGGACUGCUUCAUCUACAGAAAUCCAGGUAGCAGCCGAAGCAGUGAGAGGGCUGAGGUGGGGCCACAUGGAGACGGCAUGUGUUGUUGUUCAAGGAGCCAAAAUAAAAAGCUGGAAUGAAGAGUCAAGUCAACACGUCGAGCAGCCGGAUGCGUUUCUCUGCCGAGGUGACGUCGCUUCCACUGAGGAGGUGACAUCUAUGCUGAAACCCAGCUAUGAAAAUAUGGAGGUGAACUGGAAUUAUACAAGCCGGUGGCACAUAAACAUCAUGGGGAGUAUGAAGUCAGAAGUGUCACAUUCCUUCCUGAUGGUGGAGGGCAUGUGAAUGGAUGUGAGCAGACAGAAGGAAAAUGAGAAGUGUUAAAAGAAAAAGAAAAAAAUAGCAAGAAGGGGAAAAAAGAAGAAGAAGAAGAAAAGCGAAGAAAAUUGCAAGAAAAAAGAGGAAAAACAGAGUUAUGAGAGCGAAGUUCACGGACGCAGAGCAGCUUCUGGCAUGGCUCAUCCUUCCCAUCAUACACAUUCCUGUCUGACACGCUCACAAAGCCCCAUUGUACUGAACUGAAUCUGACUCAUAUCCUCACCGCCAUCAACCUUAUAAGCUACCACCACAUGCACACAAACACACACGUUUGGCCUUGAGCCACCUCCAUUGUGCAGAGUUAUGGGCUGACAGUUUUAAUACGGCCUGUAAAUGAUUCCCUACUGUACGGAGAGAAGGUGUGAACUUCAAAAGAUAAGGAGGAGGAGGAGGAUGGAGGAAAGAUGAUACGGUGCUGCUAUAAUGUCAUGUGACCUGUGGAUGAAGGGGUCACAACAUGCAACCAACUCUUUCUCCCCCUCACCUGUCUUCAUUCCUGACAGCUCUUUGGUGCUCAGAAGUCUGCAGAAGAUCAGAGGCUUCGGUGGCAGCGGUAGAAGGAGCACUUUGAUGUUUACUUUUACUUAGUAAGCAUGUAUGAGCCGCUUAUGUACCCAGUAGAGGCCAAUUAUAAAACAAAUGAAGGACAGCAAAGCUAGAAAUAAAGGUCAACAAAAAUUACAGUAACAAAGGAAAGAAAAGGACAAAAGCACAGCUCAAUGUCAGUGUAACUGUUAGACAAUGAACAAAAAGAUCUUAUAAAACAACAUAGUUAAUCCUAAAAUCAUUGUGGGCUUUUAGACAAUGCUGUAAAGCCUUGAUUAUGUCUCUUAUGGAUGCACACACAAACACCACAGAGGCGAAAUUGUUGCCAUUAAGGCCAACUCAUGGUUUCUGCAAGACUAUGAAAGCAGCCAGUGGAUGGUUGAGUCAUGCUACUAUAUGUAGGCGUUGCUCUGUUGUGCCGAUGGUCUUUUCAAUCUCCUCUUAAGAUGUACGUUUAUCAGAGGGCAUUUCCUGAUUUUAUGAGUUUUUUUGUUUUAUUGUUGUAUUAAUGUUUCAGCUUCUUUAAUAUUGUGUUGGUUUUAUACACCAUGUUGUGCUUGUAUUCUGAUGAUUUGUUUUAUUUUACUUCCAUUGGAAGCACUUUGCAUUCUGGAUUUGGAAAGUGCUGUUUAGAUAAAGAUUACUGUCAUUAUUAUUAAUAUUAUUAUUUUUGCCUCGCAUAUCAGAGAGAACAACGCGUGGGGCUCCUGUGGAUGUUUCUGAAAGGCUGGCUGUGACUGUGUUCUUUCUACCACGUCAAUGUGAUUAUUCCUGAGGUGUCUUAAGCACAGUGAGUGGACAUAGCACAGGGUUUCUGGAGAAUUUAGAACUUCCAGCUGUGUUUAAGCAUCAGUACUAGAAAGCAUGGACACAUCAAAGCCCCUCAAAAUUUGAUAGCAACUACUUCAAAUAGAAUUCUGUUAAGGAUGAAUUUUCAAGGAGGGAAUGUUGGAGAAUCCCCUCAUGCAGUCUGUCCUCAAAACAAGCAUCUGUUAUACUUAGCAUGAGUUGUCCUGGUGCAUGAGCAGUUUGUGAGCUUGCAGUGCAGACAGUCAGUGCUGUCAUAAAUUCUAAGCUGCAAAGACACAAAACUUGGAUGACAAAAUUUGGACAGCAUACCUUCGCUAACCCUUGUAAAGUAUGGAAAGCAUGAAUUAUCAUUUCCUGUUUUGUCUGCUGCUUAGAGUCCACAGAAAGGACUUGUUUGCUUUUGUGUGCAGCAGGUUUACUGGAAAGCAUUGCCCAUUUUCACCCAUGUAGCACAGUCACCAUGCUGACACUAACUUUGGGCUGUUUGCUGAGAGCGCCAUGUUGAUUCUUGCAGACAUUUUAUAGACAUUUUACAACACCUGAAAGUAUAAUGGUGCCCUUAAUAUACUCCUUACAUAGGCCACUGUACUUGGCUUGGAGGACUCCGUUCUAUAUAUGCACGGUAGCACAUAUCUGUGUAAUCCACUGCUGCUCUUGUAGCAUUGUUGCUGCCUGAACUGCCAAAAAGUUGCAGAGGGGUCCACACAGACUCUUGCAGACCUGGGGAGUUCUUGAAACUUAUAUUAGUUUGACAUUAUUACAACGUUUCAUUUCCCAUGUUUCUUCUUUAAAUAUACACAGAUCAGGCAAAACACUAUGACCACCUGCCGAAUAUUGCGUUGGUUCCCCUUUUGCUACCAAAACAACCCGUUAAGGCAUGGACUCCACUAGACCCCUGAGGGUGUGCUGUGGUAUCUGCCACCACGAUGUUAGCAGCAGAUCCUUUAAGUCCUGAAAGGUGCGAGGUGGGGCCACCAUGGAUCGGACUUGUUUGUCCAGCACAUCCCACAAAGCUUCACUGGAUUGAAAUCUGGGGAAUUAGGAGGCCAACUCAACACUUUAAACUUGUUGAUGUGCUCUUCAAACCAUUCCUGAACCAUUUUUGCUUUGUGGCAUGGAACAUUAUCCUGCUGAAAGAGGCCACAGCCAUCAGGGAAUACUGUUUCCAUGAAAGGGUGUACAUGGCCUGUAACAAUGCUUAGGUAGGUGGCACAUGUCAAAGUAACAUCCACACGGAUGGCAGGACCCAAGGUUUCCCAGUAGAACAUUGCCCGGAGAAUCACACUGCCUCUGUCGGCUUACCUGUGUUCCCCAGGUAAGCGACACACAUACACCCGGUUAUUUACAUGAAAACAUGAUUCUUCAGACCAGGACACUUUCUUCCAUUGCACCGUGGUCCAAUUCUGAUGCUCACAUUGUUGGCACUUUCAGCGGUGCACAGAGGUCUGCGGCGAUGUAGCCCCAUACGCAACAAACUGUGAUGCACUGUGUAUUCUGACACCUUUCUAUCAGAACCAGCAUUAAUUUCUUCAUCCAUUUGAGCAACACUAGCUUGUCUGUUGGAUCAAGCAAAAGACCCAGCCUUUGCUCCCUACAUGCAUCAGUGAGUCUUGGCUGCCCAUGACCCUGUCGCUGGUUCAUCACUGUUCCUUCCUUGGACCACUUAGAUCCUGACCCCUGCAGACCAGGAACAUCCCACAAGAGCUGCAGUUUUGGAGAUGAUCUGACCCUGUCGUCUAGUCAUUACAAUUUGGCCCUUGUCAAACUCGCUUAAAUCCUUAUGCUUGCCCAUUAUUCCUGCUUCUAACACAUCAACUUUGGGGACAAAAUGUUCACUUGUUGUCUAGUAUAUCUAAUCCACUAACAGGUGCCGUGACAAAGAGAUAAACAGGGAUACUCAUAAUGUUAUGCCUGAUUGGUGUAAAUCCAACUAGUGAGCCACAACAAAAUUUUACAUGUCAACUGUUGAGAUUUACAUCACUUAGACGACCUUAGAAGACUCUUGUUUGGACCUCGGGUACUAUUACACUGGCCUGAGGCUAGUUAUAUGGCUCAAACAGCCAAUAGUAGUCAGCCAGCAGUUAUAAUUUUUUAAUUUCUUAUUGCAAACCAAGCAGGGAGACCUCAAGCACAGUCAAAAAAGGUAACAACAAAUGCUGCUUUCUGAUGUUUUACCAUGUUUCAUUCAAAUUUAUUCAGCUGUGAACUAUCCUGAGUGAACAGUCAAACAAACCAGAAUGUGGAUUCCAUUACAUAGACGACUUAAAUAUGAGAUGCCACAUUUCUGCGUUGCUACAUCAAAUGGAAUCGCAGAUGCCUUGAGUAUCACUUUCUAUGAUGUUCAUUAAAUUUAAGCCUGAUAUAUCCAGUAUCUUCGAACACGUUAUGAUCUCCAAAGCAAUUUCAAUCCUGAACUUGAACAAAGUUUUUCACACGGAACGAAAGAAAAGAGAAAAACAGUGGAGCUAAAUAACUUUGUUGUUUUUCCCAGUACUUGCAUCAUCAUGUCCACGGCAAGUUUUCCUCACGGACAUCAUGUCAACCGAGGUUCAAAGCGAACAACGGUGUUUUCUGGCAGUUAGUUUCUCCUCAUCACAUUAACACUUAAAUAGACACGGUGAACGUUUGCCCCACAGUUACGGUGAAAAGAGCGGGCAGGUUUUUUUUUUCUCUCUUUUUUUUUUUGGGAAGCACUGCACCCGGAGAGUCCAACGUCCCCGGGGCAGAGGUGUGUGUCCGCUAAAGGGGACAAGAGAGAAAAAUCCCCAAAUUCCCUGUGUGAAUGGCACGGAGUAAUUAAUCUCCAGCAGGGGUUUGCCCUCCUCCCUGACAUGUGAGUGACACACUGUGCAUGAGUGUGUGUUUGUGUGUGAGACAGAGGUGUUUGAUUGCCUCUCCCCCGGGCCUGCUCCAUCAUGUCUGCUUCUGCUUUUGAUGUUUCCCCCCUUUUCUUUUCUCUUUCCUCUUCUUCUUCAUCUCUUCUCUCCGCUGCCUGCUGCGCUCAGUGCACCUAUUAUUCUUCUUUGGUCUUCUCCACUGUAAAAAUGGAUGUGUGAAUGUGUGCAUGACGAGUCGGAGCUGACAGUAAGCUGAUAUGUGUAGUCGAGGUACAGUGCAUUGCUCAAGGGCCUGUAUGAGUUUUUUUUUUUUUGUUUUAACUAUUUUCUUUUGAGGUGAACUAUUCCUUCAAGCCAUUGGAGUUUAAAGCUGCUACAAAUACAUAUUUUAAUAUUUACAUUACAUCAGUGGCCUGUGCAUAAUGUGAGAGGUCGCUCAUUGCCCGCAGAGAAUUAUAAUCUGGCUCUGCAGUCGCCUACAGGUCUGCAGUGCUUUCGGUUUCAUGGUCAACAACUUAUUGUUUAAUUUCAGUCUCCCUACUCUCAACAGUGGCAUUUCCAGCAGCAGCACUCAGCUGCUUUAAGUAAGAAAAAACUUGACUAAAGCCAUCGUACAGGACUUUUCCUGUAGCAAACAGCAGACACAGUUAAAACCAGCAGUGGAGCCAAACACUUUUCUCAAAAUCAGAGCUAAAAGAAGGUUUUUUUAGGUUUAUAUUCACCAAUGUUGUAUUUAUAGGCCACAAGUCACCCCAAAAAUCAGUUCCUGCAGGUGAAAUAAUUCAGUUUAUGAAGGUUAAUACAUUACAGAUGAUUGAGGUUUUGUAACAGGACUGGUUUGUAAAUUGGUGAACCGGGUCAAAGAAAUUUAAAUUCAGCUGACAGUUUGCUUUUCCAUCCAGUGCAGAUGCAUGAUGACACAACAUCAGUAUUGACAAUAUUCAGUGCAGGCUUAAGUGAAAACACACCAGUCUUUUCUUUGUGUAAAUACAAACUCCAGAGAAACAAAGCCACUACAGAGCAGUUAGUGUGAACUGACGGGGGAUCCAGGUGUGCCACCCAGGGCCAGGCUGGGAGAUAAUCCAGGUCAGAAAUCUGACUUCAAUUCAGGUCAGUCUGUCUCCACGCAGUCACCAUUUUGUCGAUUUCAAUUGCAGUGUAAGCCAGAAAACCUGCUUUUAAGAAAAUUCUGCAUUAAGGGAGAAAUUCCAAUUAUUGUCAACUGCAGUUAAGGUUACAGGAGAAAAUAUUCAUACAUACAGUCAUGAACAAAAGUUUCCACACACUUGUAAAGACCAUAUGUAUCAUGGCAGUCUUGAGUUUCCAACGACUAUAACUCUGAAUUCUCAUUGAUAGCGUCAUUGAAACACGUCUCUUUGUCACACACAAAAAUUAAUCAUGUAUUUUGCUUCUUUUAUAGAUUUUUUAAAGGUCCUCUGCAAAUACGACACUUCAUUCUUAGAAUCAAUGGUUUGCAGAGGAUUUUGAGAUCUGCAGCUGCUUUAAAGUGACUUUCUUGACUUGGUCGAGACUUGCUUCAUCAGAUCUUUGCUGAGAUCCUCAGACUUCCCCUGUAGUGUUUGUCGUUGGGUCUAAUGAGUGAAUCAAGUGGACUCUCAUUAAAUUGGCUCAGAGGAGUCAUCAGCUGUAGUCAAUCAUAAUUACUCAUUAGAAGUUAAGAGGACAGGUCACUAAGAAAAUUUGAUUAACACAACUUUGUACAUCACCAAAACUGACAAUUUAAGUUUUCUAUAGAUAUACUUUAGACCCAGCAAAUGUCACAUCUCCUGAAGACCUCUAAUAAAUCUAUGAAAGUACUAAAAUAGAGGGAAAAAAAUCAAGAGUUAUAGUGAACUUGGAAGAUCAAGGUUGCCAUGAUAUUCAUGGUCUUUGCAUAUGUGUGGAAUCUUUUGUUCACAACUGUUUUAUAUAUACAUACACACACACACACACACACACACACACACACACACACACUGUAUAUUGUUGUUUACACCUGACAGAAAUUAAUGUGCAGGUAUUUAUUUUCCAUAUUAUUUCCAUGCAUAUACACCUCGGGCUUUCCUAAAUAAUAUUUUGCAGCUUAUUGGUGUUUUAAAACACAGAAUAAACUAGCUACCAGUAGUUGUAAUAUUAUAACUUGCUGGGAAGAGUCUCUGGAAUGUGUAUGAACUGUAUAAGCAAUGUCUAUUUUUCAAAACCUGCCAAGUGAAGUCUUUUCUGCAUGAAACUACCUAAAAUCGACUUUUCUUUCUUCUUCUUUUUUUUUUCAUCUGAGAUCGAAUCAAGACUGAUUCCAGCUCUAAUGCAUUACCUGGAGUUUGAAUGAACGUCCCGGGAAAACAAGCGGUUUUUCAAACACAAGUCACACGUGUCUGCAUUUAUCACCUCUAAAUGCUGCAACAUUUUAUUUCCCAUAAUUGUGCUUCUUUAAAUAAAAAAAAAAUCCAACUGGUGAGCAAACCAGCGACAGUCUACUGGCCGUAAACUGAGAAGCAGCUAUUGGCGAGCAACACUAAGUGUGUGUUAGAGCUGCAGCCGAGGGAAGGGAGGAAAGCCUGCCACAUUAAUGACAACCACACUUAUGUAAAGCUCCACACAGUAUUUAUAGAGUCAGCUGGGCUUCAGAAGGCCACAGUCGGAAAGUCCACAAACCACCAGUCAUGACACACAGACGCACAACAAGAUGCUCACACAUCCGCUCAGUGGCUGUAUAGUUUAAAUCAUGUGAAAUACACAACUAGAGAGAUUCUUCUGUUGUUUGGUUGGUUUCCACGCACAGAACAGUGAUAAAUGUGUCUGCACCGAGACAGGAGGAGGAUUGGGUGGAAAAAUUUAGACUUAAGGUCAAUGCAGGUGAACAGGUGAAGACAUCUCUUUUUUUAUCUGAACUCCUUAGAAUUAAUGAUGAAUCUGAGACACAGUUUAAGCUCGUUUGUACAAAAUGGACUAAAAAUAAAGAUGGCAAAGUGACGCUUAAUAAAAUGAAAUCCAGACUGAAACCA
Molecule: long non-coding RNA, 7725 nt
Organism: Amphiprion ocellaris (clown anemonefish)
Lineage: Eukaryota; Metazoa; Chordata; Actinopteri; Pomacentridae
Exons: 4
Source: RefSeq, a predicted model, not a curated record